Molecule: ribosomal RNA, 253 nt
Filed under: uncultured bacterium
Lineage: Bacteria
Description: partial 16S ribosomal RNA
Rfam family: Bacterial small subunit ribosomal RNA
Source: RNAcentral
GACAGAGGCCCCGAGCGUUAGGCGGAAUCACUGGGCUUAAAGCGUGUGUAGGCGGGCCCGUAAGUACCUUGUGAAAUCCCACGGCUCAACCGUGGAACGGCUGGGUAUACUGCGGGUCUUGGGCCAACUAGGGGCAGCCGGAACAAGCGGUGGAGCGGUGAAAUGCGUAGAGAUCAGGAAGAACACCGGUGGCGAAGGCGCUCUGCUAGGCCGCAACUGACACUGAGGGACGAAAGCUAGGGGAGCGAAUGGG